CGUGGUUGAUAGUGCUGUUCAGCGUCGAGGUUUAUUUCGAUAUCAUAAGCCAUCUCGAUAAAAGGUACCACAUCGUCGAUCUCAUCAAAUGACAUAUCGCCACCACUACGUAACUGAUGUAGAAUCUGUUGCAUCCAUGUUGUGCCGCAUUUAGGUGAAGUCACGACGAACACAUCAUCUGGACGAGGUUUAAAACUUAAACCAUGCAUUCUUCCUUGCUCUGUUCGGAAGUUAGAAAACCUUUGUUUCAGGAGCUGCACACCUCGUAUUCCUGUUCCAUCUCCAGAUUUCUCAAAAGCCAUUGUCAGAAUAG
Non-coding RNA from Paramuricea clavata, 313 nucleotides. The record is from the annotation of a GenBank genome assembly. NCBI's taxonomy places the organism in Eukaryota, Metazoa, Cnidaria, Anthozoa, Malacalcyonacea, Plexauridae.